AAGGCGCUAUGCCAGAGAGAGUAAAGGGAAGAGUUCUGAAUACACGAACGGCUUGAGACUGGUCUCUGGGACGUUACCCAACAUCCUCAGGGAUCAGACUCACCACCUCAGAGGUCUCCCUCGUUACCUCACUUCAGCUUCCCAGACCCAAUUCCAGGCUCCGUUCCCCUUGAAGUCCUUCCAGCUAUCUCCUGCCUCUCGCAGCCGGAACUCUCCCCUGGCUCCGUCCGCACACGCUGCCUUUGUUUCAGUUUUCAUGCAGGCCCCUCUCCUCCACCCAGGUAUCCGGCCUCACACUUGCUGCGAAGGGAAGUUUUCUGUCUCCCUUCGCUCCCCAGAGUUCUGUGCGAGGGCCGUGACAGCGACCAGCUGGAGCUGGCAGAGUAGGGGGCAAGUGUCUGGAGGUGGUGGUGGCGGUGCUGUGGCGGGGCCUGUACGGCACUGCCUGCGGGGGCCCUCAUACAUGAACGGCUUGAGACUGGUGAGAGAUGGCACACCCCUGGUGUGGCGGGAAGAAUGUUGGAGCCAGAGGCCUGCGGGCGGUCACCCUGAUUUGCCCCCCGCCCCAUGGAUGUAAAAAAUGGCUUUGAAAUUAUAAUUAUAAAGUGAUAAAAGCUGCUCUAUUGUGCUGGUCCCUUGA
Long non-coding RNA from Alligator mississippiensis (American alligator), 640 nucleotides. RefSeq lists it as uncharacterized. The record is from RefSeq and is a predicted model, not a curated record. The transcript is spliced from 3 exons. Lineage: Eukaryota; Metazoa; Chordata; Crocodylia; Alligatoridae.